UUAAAAUUGUUUAGCUCUAAAAUAAAGAUUUCGACUCUUUGAAUAUCAGAGCUUCUUAAU
This 60-nucleotide transfer RNA is filed under the name Hexamermis agrotis. RNAcentral describes it as "tRNA-Arg". Lineage: Eukaryota; Metazoa; Nematoda; Enoplea; Mermithida; Mermithidae. The record is from RNAcentral.